GACGAACGCUGGCGGCGUGCUUAACACAUGCAAGUCGAACGGAAAGGCCCUGCUUUUGUGGGGUGCUCGAGUGGCGAACGGGUGAGUAACACGUGAGUAACCUGCCCUUGACUUUGGGAUAACUUCAGGAAACUGGGGCUAAUACCGGAUAGGAGCUCCUGCUGCAUGGUGGGGGUUGGAAAGUUUCGGCGGUUGGGGAUGGACUCGCGGCUUAUCAGCUUGUUGGUGGGGUAGUGGCUUACCAAGGCUUUGACGGGUAGCCGGCCUGAGAGGGUGACCGGCAACAUUGGAACUGGGAUACGGCCAGGACUCCAACGGGAGGAAGAGGUGGGGAAAAUUGCACAAUGGGCGGAAGCCUAAGGCAGAAAGGCGGGGGGCGGGAUGACGGCUUCGGGUUGUAAACCGCUUUCGCCUGUGACGAAGCGUGAGUGACGGUAAUGGGUAAAGAAGCACCGGCUAACUACGUG
Molecule: ribosomal RNA, 467 nt
Filed under: uncultured bacterium
Lineage: Bacteria
Description: partial 16S ribosomal RNA
Rfam family: Bacterial small subunit ribosomal RNA
Source: RNAcentral